GGGUGCGAUCAUACCAGCACUAAUGCACCGGAUCCCAUCAGAACUCCACAGCUAAGCGUGCCUGGGCGAGAGUAGUACUAGGAUGGGUGACCUCUUGGGAAGUCCUUGUGUUGCACCCC
Gossypium raimondii (Peruvian cotton) is the source of this 119-nucleotide non-coding RNA. The record is from Rfam. NCBI's taxonomy places the organism in Eukaryota, Viridiplantae, Streptophyta, Magnoliopsida, Malvales, Malvaceae.